RNAcentral lists this ribosomal RNA (610 nucleotides) under uncultured eukaryote. Its description in RNAcentral is "partial Bacterial large subunit ribosomal RNA". It matches the Rfam family "Bacterial large subunit ribosomal RNA", at positions 1921 to 2609 of the family's 2925-position model. The record is from RNAcentral.
UCGUAAACGGAAGUCCUAACGAUAAGGAUUCUAAGGUAGCGAAAUUCCUUGUCGAGUAAUUAUCGUCCAGCACGAAUGGCGUAACGACUGUCGCAGUGUCUCGGCUGUCCUUUUAGCGAAUUCACAGAUACUGUGCAGAUGCAGUUAGCCUUAGUCAGACGAGAAGACCCUGUGAACCUUCACGAGUCUUUGUAGGAACGAGCUCCUCGGCUGUACCUGCUCGAGUGCCUCGCACCUCGCUCAGCUUCUAGCCGUUUCUCUCGUCGCUGCCGCGGCUCCUACAGACGCCUCGUUCGUCUGGGACGGACUCUUUCAACGAAUCAACGAAAGAGAACGAAGGUUUGAGCAUGCUACAACUAGCCUCUCUAGCCUGACGGCAACGCCUCGAGGCGGAACCGCGACGGAAGUCUGUAGUAGUGACCCGCUCAGCUCAAUGGUCUGCUCUGCGAGCAUCCGUUCUCAGGUACUCCAGGGAUAACAGGUCAAUGCUAGCUAAGAGCUCCUAUCGACGCUAGGCUCUGAUACCUCGAUGUCGUCUCGUCCUGUCCUAGUAGCGCAAGCGCUGCUAAGGGUUUGGCUGUUCGCCAAUUAAAAGGACACGUGAGGUGGG